This 253-nucleotide ribosomal RNA is filed under the name uncultured bacterium. RNAcentral describes it as "partial 16S ribosomal RNA". It matches the Rfam family "Bacterial small subunit ribosomal RNA", at positions 524 to 776 of the family's 1533-position model. The record is from RNAcentral.
UACAGAGGGUGCAAGCGUUAAUCGGAAUUAUUGGGCGUAAAGCGCGCGCAGGCGGUUCCUUAAGUCUGAUGUGAAAGCCCACGGCUCAACCGUGGAGGGUCAUUGGAAACUGGGGAACUGGAAUGCAGAAGAGGAGAGUGGAAUUCCACGUGUAGCGGUGAAAUGCGUAGAUAUGUGGAGGAACACCAGUGGCGAAGGCGGCUCUCUGGUCUGUUAUUGACGCUGAGGCGCGAAAGCGUGGGGAGCAAACAGG